Molecule: ribosomal RNA, 815 nt
Filed under: uncultured bacterium
Lineage: Bacteria
Description: bacterial SSU rRNA
Rfam family: Bacterial small subunit ribosomal RNA
Source: RNAcentral
AGAGUUUGAUCAUGGCUCAGAACGAACGCUGGCGGCGUGGAUAAGACAUGCAAGUCGAACGCUGACUAUUAGAUAGCAAUAUUUGGUAGUUGGAGUGGCGCAAGGGUGCGUAACACGUGGGUAAUUUGCCGUAAAGCCUGGGAUAACUUGCUGAAAGGCGAGCUAAUACCGGAUGUGAUGUUUGGGAGGCAUCUUUUGAACAUUAAAGUUGGGGACCGUAAGGCCUGACGCUUUUCGAUAAGCCCGCGGCCUAUCAGCUAGUUGGUAAGGUAACGGCUUACCAAGGCUAAGACGGGUAGCUGGUCUGAGAGGACGACCAGUCACACUGGAACUGAGACACGGUCCAGACACCUACGGGUGGCAGCAGUCGAGAAUUUUUCUCAAUGGGCGAAAGCCUGAAGGAGCGACGCCGCGUGGGGGAUGAAUGGCUUCGGCCCGUAAACCCCUGUCAUUUGCGAACAAACCUCGUUAUUUAAAAGAUGACGAGCUGAUUGUAGCGGAAGAGGAAGGGACGGCUAACUCUGUGCCAGCAGCCGCGGUAAUACAGAGAUCCCAAGCGUUGUUCGGAUUCACUGGGCGUAAAGGGUGCGUAGGUGGCUGGGUAAGUCUGAUGUGAAAUCUCCGAGCUUAACUCGGAAACUGCAUCGGAUACUAUUCGGCUGGAGGGUUGGAGGGGGGACUGGAAUUCUCGGUGUAGCAGUGAAAUGCGUAGAUAUCGAGAGGAACACCAGUGGCGAAGGCGAGUCCCUGGACAACUCCUGACACUGAGGCACGAAAGCUAGGGGAGCAAACAGGAUUAGAUACCCCCGUAGUCC